Molecule: microRNA, 23 nt
Filed under: Scyliorhinus torazame (cloudy catshark)
Lineage: Eukaryota; Metazoa; Chordata; Chondrichthyes; Carcharhiniformes; Scyliorhinidae
Description: Sto-Mir-192-P2_3p* (star (passenger))
Source: RNAcentral
CCUGUCAGUUCCAUAGGCCACUA